Pelodiscus sinensis (Chinese soft-shelled turtle) is the source of this 475-nucleotide non-coding RNA. The record is from RefSeq and is a predicted model, not a curated record. NCBI's taxonomy places the organism in Eukaryota, Metazoa, Chordata, Testudines, Trionychidae.
UUGCCAAUGUGCACUGCGGGGAACACAGCCUACCCUGUCCUCCCCUAGCUUAUGAAGCCCUACACUGGGCACCUGGACCCCACAAAGGAAUUCCAGGCUCAGCAGGGUCCCCAUUGUGGUGGAGGGCACCUUUGAGCGUCUCAAAGGGAGAUUCUACUUCCUCCUCACCUGGCUGGACCUUGGUACCAGGCUGUCAGCACAAGGUGGUCGAUCUGCAGAUGACUCAAGUGUCCACGGUUCUGUGUGAGCAAGUCUUGGCACCUAGGCAGAGGGUAUGGAGAAUGAACCGACAUGUGAUAGAGAUUCCAGAAGGAAAAGACUAGCAGGAGCAGUAGAAGCAAGAGAAGGCAGUGGCAUAAAGUCAUGGAAUCGUAGGAACAGAAGGGACCUCAAGAGGUCAUCAAGUCCUGUCUCCUGCACUCAUGGCAGGACCAAACACCAUCUAGACCAUCUAGAUCGUGGGGAUACAAAGUAA